AGCGGCGGACGGGUGAGUAACGCGUGGGCAACCUGCCUCAUACAGGGGGAUAACAGUUGGAAACGGCUGCUAAUACCGCAUAAGCGCACAGUACCGCAUGGUACGGUGUGAAAAACUCCGGUGGUAUGAGAUGGACCCGCGUCUGAUUAGGUAGUUGGUGGGGUAACGGCCUACCAAGCCGACGAUCAGUAGCCGACCUGAGAGGGUGACCGGCCACAUUGGGACUGAGACACGGCCCAA
RNAcentral lists this ribosomal RNA (240 nucleotides) under uncultured bacterium. RNAcentral describes it as "partial 16S ribosomal RNA". It matches the Rfam family "Bacterial small subunit ribosomal RNA", at positions 94 to 334 of the family's 1533-position model. The record is from RNAcentral.